Molecule: RNA transcript, 3999 nt
Organism: Juglans regia (Persian walnut)
Lineage: Eukaryota; Viridiplantae; Streptophyta; Magnoliopsida; Fagales; Juglandaceae
Gene name: putative pentatricopeptide repeat-containing protein At5g37570
Exons: 3
Source: RefSeq, a predicted model, not a curated record
GACAACAGUUGAACCAACGAACUGUCAAAAUCCCGAGCCUUGGAAAAAUGCAACAAACGAUGGCUCUCAAAAAUCACCCAAACAACAAAGCCGACGUAGCUGCUUCUCUGCUAAAAACAUGCUCAUCCCUCUCUCAGCUCAAGCAAAUCCACGCCCACAUCUUCCGCUUUGAUCUCCACAGAAACGCUUCCUUAGCUUCCACUCUCGUUUCUCUCUAUGCCUCUCUCUACUCCCCUCUGUACUCCCGUCUCGUCUUCUCUUCUUUCUCUCACCCAAAUCUCUCUCUCUUCAACCACGCCAUUAGAGCUUUCUCCAAGAUUCCGUCGCUUUGUUCUGAAUCACUGAAUUUGUAUGCCCAGAUGAUUCUUUUUGGGAUUAGACCAGACAAUUUUACAUACCCGUUUUUGCUUAACUCUUGCGCCUGUCUUAAUGAUCUUUGUCGUGGAACUGAAAUCCAUGGACACGUUGUGAAAACGGGUUUUGGUGUGUGUGUUCCAGUCUCGAAUGCUUUGAUUGAUAUGUAUGGUAAAUGUGGUUCGUUGGAGAAGGCACGUCAGCUGUUUGAUGAAUUGGGUGCAAAAGGAGAUGUUGUGUCCUAUAAUUCUCUUCUAGGGGCUCAUGCCAGAGUUGGGGAGGAUAUGGUAAAUGCCCAAGAAGUGUUUGAUGGGAUGCAGGUCAGAAAUGUGAUAUCCUGGAAUGCAAUGAUUGUGGGUUAUGUAAAUAGUGGAGAUCUAGAUUCGGCCCGUGCUAUUUUUGAUAGGAUGCCUCAGAGAAAUUCCGUUUCUUGGACUGCGAUGUUGGUGGGUUAUACUAAAAAUGGGCUCAUUGAUGCGGCUAAAGCUCUCUUUGAUGAAAUGCCGGAAAAGAGUUUGGUUUGUUGGACAGCAAUGAUUUCUGGGUGUGCACAAAAUGGGAGACCAAGUGAAGCACUGGAACUUUUCCGGAGGAUGGAGAAAGCACAUGUAAGACCAGAUGCUUAUACUAUAACUGCAGUAAUAUCUGCAUCGGCACAAUUAGGCCGAGCAGAUAUUGCAAAUUGGAUUGCAUCUUAUGUGGAACAAGAAGGCAUUGAGCAGAAUGAUCUGGUAUUAACUGCCCUAGUAGAUAUGCAUGCAAAGUGCGGUAACAUGGAAGAGGCAUGCAGCGUGUUUGACCAGAUCCACCAGCAGGAUGUCUUCUCGUAUAGUGCACUAAUCACAGGUCUAGCUUCACAUGGUCAUGGGGUUAAAGCUCUGGAAAUAUUUCACAGAAUGCUAGCAGAAAAUGUUGAACCCGAUCAAAUCACAUUUGUUGGAGUACUGACUGCCUGUAGCCAUGCAGGGCUCUUCGAAGAUGGAAUGAGAUAUUGGGAAAGCAUAAUAAAAGAUCACAAGAUUGUGCCUGAUGCUAAUCUCUUCUCUUGCAUGGUUGAUAUGCUGGGACGCGCUGGAAAACUUAAUGAGGCUUACAAAUUAGUGGAAAGCAUGCCCAUGGGGCCACAGCCUGGAGCGUUGGGUGCUUUGCUUGCAGCAUGCAGAACAUAUGGCAAUGUUGAGAUUGCGGAAAUUGUUGCUAAGCAACUAUUCAAAUUAGAACCUGAAAAUACUGGGAAUUACAUGCUUCUUUCCAGUAUCUAUGCCUCAAGGGAAAGGUGGGACGAGGCCAGAAGGAUUCGGGAAGCAAUGAAGGAGAGAAUUAAAAUUAAGCUUCCUGGUUGCAGUUGGGUUGAGAUCAAUUGCUGUGAUCAUGGAAUUCAAGCGAAUAACUGAACAUUUAUGUAUUUAAAGCAAAACCCUGGUAAGCUUUCAUCAUUGGACUGAAAUAUAAGAAAUGCACACUUUCUGCUCUGAAUGACAUUUUUAACCCUCAGCUUUGACAAUUUAUAUAAAGACUGGAUUCAAGUCCUGAAAUAGCAUGGUUAAUCUCCUAUGAAAUUCCUUAAUAAAACUUUGUCUGCUAACUUGUUGAAAAAUCAGCAAGUAGUUUCUCAAGAUAAUCACAGAUUCCAUGCCCCUGUUGGCCCGCAUGACUUGAAGGCAGUCAACCGAUACAUUUGGCACCACAUGCUGCAAGUUGCCAAUAAUGUGUGCCAAUAAAACCUUUUUGUUUAAAAACUCAUGGUGGGUUAAGUUCUCUCCAUUUGUACUUAAACUUCCAUUACGAGAUGCAUUGGGUUCUGUUCUCGCUUAUACUACUUUCUUUUACUGGUCCCUAGAAGGUAUGUUUACCCAGGAAGCAGGAAAGAUGGCAAGGAAAACUAUUUCUAUUGUUUCUGUGAGCUGACGGCUUACAUGUUGUUAGGUCCAUCUGAGCUAGAUAAAAGCAAACGGGAAUCUGAAUUGUGGCUAGUUUGCUUGGAGUAUCAAGAAAACGUUGGUGACACAUCCCAUGUAGUGACAUGCUCUCUUUUUCUGAUGUUUACAGGAAAGCUAUGUUGUUCUGCAAAGAGAUAAUGAUUGCUGUCUCGAUGUUCAACAGAACUGCACACUGCAAUAACGAUGAAUGAGAGAGAGCUGUGAUAGUUCUUCAAAAGAAAAAUAUUGCAGCGAUCAGUUCUGUAUAUGAUAACUCCAAAGGGCCAUUACCCACUGUUUCUCUGUCAAAACAGCGUCCAUUUGGCUGAUGCCUGGGGUAACGAUUUCAAUAUGGUCAAAACCUUCAGAAUUUUCCAUUUCUGUGACUUUCAUUUGUGGCUCAAGUCACUAAAACUACUAGAUGCUUCUGACCUUAGUACUUGAAACUUUUUGUGGUGAGAUGCUUGUUUUAGCUUUCAACCUGUGGAAAGCUUCUAAUAUUACAUCCCUUUAAUUGAGCGGGUUUUAUAUUUGGAAAUGGCCUUAACAUUAUCAGUUUAGCAAAUUAUUUGAUGUUCUUAUCCUGUUGUUUCUAGCAUGAUGAAGUCUUGCCUAGUGAUUGGUCCUCUCCAGAACAAACCCACUACCAAGUCCUAAACUGUUGUAGUUUAGCGGGAAAUGUGAAGUCAUCAACAUCCUUUUGGUUUUAACAUUAUAUGCAUAUAGUUUAUAACAUUUCUACUACACUUGUGACUUUAAAAGGGAUCAUUUCCUGCACAUUUUUUCUUCAUAUAAGCUAUCUUGCUGCUGUGAAUUAUAAUAUGUAGUAUACCGUAACGAUUAACGCAUUUAUGUAUUUGCAAAGAAAUUAUAUUCCUCUGAAUAUUGAUAAUAAUGAGUCGAACUGCAGAAAUCGUGGUUGCUGCCACUGCCGCAAGGAGAGAAGAGAACAAUGUUCAACAAGUGCCACACCUUUUCUAGUCAGGCUGUCUUUCCCUUCACCUGCCAAAAUGAUCAAGCAAGCCUAAUUUACUUCAAGUUUAUUUUCGACUUCUUCAGCUUGUCAUGUAAAGCAGCACAGGACAGUUAAGUUACCUUCAUGAAAAUCAUGCUUGGGAACACAAAGGAGGUACUCUACACCAACCCAAACUAUUCACUGCUUGAUGACGUCAGUUAUUUUCCGCCAUCAUCAAUCAUGAUCCAUGUAAAUCGUUAUUGGAAUCUCCAUUAUUACACCAAAAAUAGUUUUUGACACUUGAUGUAGCUUUGCUAUCACUACUAUUAUAUCGUGUAGGAUAGAACUCUUACAGCUCCUUGGUUUUUGGAUUUUAUCUGUAUCCAUAUAGGAGUUUAGGUAUGUAAACACGAUGCUUCUAUGUCGUUAAUGAAGCCUCUUUUAAGAUUUAAGAGCUUUGUAUUGAGAUAGGGAUAGAAAAUGUUAUCUUUGAAGGGGAUGCUCUUGCAGUGGUUAAAGCUGUCCAGAUGAAUGAAGAGGAUUGCUCAUGGUAAGGUCACAGAUUAUAGAAGAUAUUAAGGCUCUUUUCCAUGGGAAAGAGAUGUGGAGAAUCCAACAUGUUCAAAGAGAGGGUAAUCAAGCUGCACAUCAUCAACUAUCAAAGUUAGCCAUAUCUUGUGAACAUGAGAUUGUGCGGAUUGAAGAAGGUCCUGAGUUGAUUAUGCAUUGUAUUAAUUUCAAAAAACAUUGUAACGCAUAAGUUAUGAAUGA